AUAAAUAUACACACAUGGGCAUAUAGGACGGGCCGCCCCUAUUUCUUUCAAUUGGACCGAGUCCAGCCCAACUGGGCCAAACCCGACCCAAGUCACUAAAACGAUUAAGGGGGCAAGGCCCCUUCUUCAUUUCUCAGUCGAGGCAAACAAAGCCUUAGAGGGCUUUGGGGGUUUCCUUAAGAGAAACCCUAUGCCGCCACAGGGCCACCUUCUCUCUCAUGUCGUCAUUUUCGCCAUUUUUGGCAACACUGCAGGAUGGGUAAGGCUUUUACAGGCCUUGUUGGGUCAAUUUUAGGUACUGAUCGACAGGCCGAUAGACCUCCCGAGUAGGCGGAAUCGGAUACUAGCUGAUUGGUGAGCUCCCUUUCUGUUCGGAGUUGUCAGGUCCUUUGGAGUUGUCCUUUUGGAGUCCAGAUUGUAUGGUACAGUCACACAUCUCCCUAGAGGCUUUUAGACGAGUCAUGUAUAUAGUAUGAGUGUGAUAGCCUUGUAGGCUUGUAUAUGUCAAUUUGAUGUUGUUGGUUUUGUACGAUUAAAGCAGCCUCCUCGGCUGGCUCAGUUAUACAUACAUACAUACAUAUAUAUAUAUAUAUUGGGGUGUGCACCCAGUUCA
Molecule: long non-coding RNA, 613 nt
Organism: Lycium barbarum (goji berry)
Lineage: Eukaryota; Viridiplantae; Streptophyta; Magnoliopsida; Solanales; Solanaceae
Exons: 2
Source: RefSeq, a predicted model, not a curated record